AUUGAACGCUGGCGGCAGGCUUAACACAUGCAAGUCGAGCGGGGAAGGGUAGCUUGCUACCUAACCUAGCGGCGGACGGGUGAGUAAUGCUUAGGAAUCUGCCAUUUAGUGGGGGACAACAUUCCGAAAGGAAUGCUAAUACCGCAUACGUCCUACGGGAGAAAGCAGGGGAUCUUCGGACCUUGCGCUAAAUGAUGAGCCUAAGUCGGAUUAGCUAGUUGGUGGGGUAAAGGCCUACCAAGGCGACGAUCUGUAGCGGGUCUGAGAGGAUGAUCCGCCACACUGGGACUGAGACACGGCCCAGACUCCUACGGGAGGCAGCAGUGGGGAAUAUUGGACAAUGGGCGGAAGCCUGAUCCAGCCAUGCCGCGUGUGUGAAGAAGGCCUUAUGGUUGUAAAGCACUUUAAGCGAGGGGGAGGCUACUUAGAUUAAUACUCUAGGAUAGUGGACGUUACUCGCAGAAUAAGCACCGGCUAACUCUGUGCCAGCCGCCGCGGUAA
RNAcentral lists this ribosomal RNA (501 nucleotides) under uncultured bacterium. RNAcentral's name for it is "partial 16S ribosomal RNA". It matches the Rfam family "Bacterial small subunit ribosomal RNA", at positions 30 to 523 of the family's 1533-position model. The record is from RNAcentral.